CCGUUCGCGUGACGGGUGUAUUUAGGCGCAUCAAACGGCGAGUAAAGCAGUGCAGCAGCAGCGUAGCGCAAAGCUGAGCUGAGCAGAGCAGUGUUGUGUGGAAUAUUAAAGCACAAUAGUGAAUUGGCUGUCCCGAUAAUCGUCAAUGAGAACAGCUGAUGGUUGAAAUAUUUUGUGAAAAAAACACGAGUGAUCAAAAAAAUUUUAAUUUAUACAUUUGAUGAAAGAGAACCAAUCGCUGGUGUUUUCAUGAUUUUCGGUUUUCAAGAUUAGCCUAUAAUUAAGAAAGGUGUUGCGGCAAUUCUUGCAAUGCGUUGCCGCAAAGCUGACCAUUGUAGUGCGCUAACAACAGAUGGUACAUGACGACGUACAUUAGUGGAAUAAUAAAAAGAAAAUAUUUACUAGCACCAUGUGAAUUAUCAUAAAUUUGAAAUAAGAAUAAUAACAAAAUAUGCAACAACCGACUAUAGCAAGCGCACAAGAAAAAUGUGAAAGUGUUAGUGACACAUAAAUAAAGAUAAAUAGCACAUCCGUAGAAAUCUCCAGCUUCCUGCGGAAGUCAUUACGCUUACGAAUGAGUUGGCGCAUGUGAAAGUGAGUGUGCUGUUUUUGUAAAAAAUACGUAAGAGUAAAUACUCGUACGUGUGUGUGCACCUAUAAACAUCCAUAUGCUUGUAAAUAUUUGUAUAAAUCUAUUGUCGUGCCCACCUGCAGGUUUCAGGCACACAUGUGUACAUACAAACUGAUAUAGUGAGAUCCCGUGCUAUGGCAGCAGCCAUGGCGUAUGAGCAACAUAUUUUAUGCAAUUUAAUUUGCACCCAGUGCAUAUAUGCGGACGCUCAUGUGUAUGCGUGGAUGUACAUAUAUCCGUGAUUGUUUUAUUUAUUUCUACUUCAAGUACUUUUGCAGAUUGGAUUUGUGCCAAAGUGAAGCAUGUGCCACGGAGAGCUGACAGUACGUUGGAAACGUCAUUAUGCAUUUAAAGAACCUUCAACUCACAUGAAAAUCAACUCUGCUAAAAUCACACCAGCUAAUAGCUAACGUAUGUUUAAAAAGUAAAAUAAAAUAAAGAAUAAAACAAAAUCUGAAGAAACUACAAUAAUAAACUGUGUCAUAUGCACUGAAAAUUAAGCAACACACAAAAAAAAAAAUCAAAUAAAUCAUGGCAACAGCAGCCAACUGUGAAAAUUCCCGCGAGUCGGAAAAAGUGAAAUUGUGCGCGAAAAUUUCGAAUGAUUACUUUCGAUAAACAUAAAAUCAUCAAAAUUUGUGUAGAUUAAAAACGGUGCAAAUUCACUGAACAAAGAAAAAAAACAAAGACAAAGAAACAACUGCCAUAGCGAAAAGCGGCACAUUUAAAUAUUUGAAACAAAAAACCAAGUGGAACAAAUUUGGCAAAAAAUAAAAACAAAAAAACGAAACUAAAUGAAAUGCAAAAGUGUUGUCGUGCAACAAACCGCGUAAAAACAUGCGCGAGUGCUUGAAAACUUGAAUAUCAGCGAAGCGAAAACAAAGAAAGUCUUUGCUACACUACAUUUUAAAUGGAAAAGUGAAUGAAAAAAGCAAAUCGAAAAUCUAGUUCAGCAAAUUGUGAAAAUGCUUUGCCAAGCACAAACUAUCGGAAUUGUGGUGACUUAAAGGCGUGCUAGCGUUGCAAACUGUCGUCACGUAAAACUAUGCGCUAAUAUCCAAAUAUAUACGUAUAGAUGUGUGUGUGUGUGUACGUAUACGUGUUCGUGUCUGUGUUCGUGUCUGUGUUCGUGUCUGUGUUCGUGCGCUCAUACUCUUUUGAGACUUUGACAGCAGUACCAGAGCGCGUUUAGCAUAAAUAAAAUAUUUUCGAUAAUUUCAAUGCAUACAUUUUGAAUGAAACAACAACAACACAAGCAGCUGAGCUAAAAAUUACUGAAAUUUGUGACAUACACACAUACGUAGGUAGGUAUACGUGUGCGUGCAAGAGCAUUUAACAGACGUUGAAAAUGUGUAGCAUAUUCCCAGGCGCGCUUAUGUAUGCACAUAGAUGAGUUUGUGUGAAAAUGCUAAAAUUAUUUUCAACUAAAUAUUGCCCCAGCAACAAUGCAAACAACAAACUUGUAGUGGUAAAAAAUAAAUGAACGAAAGAGUAUUUGCAUUUCCACACAUGCACAAUUUUCAUUUCAUGUGUUCGUGUGCAUGUGUGUGACAUGCUCAUGUGCAGAAUUAGUGCUGAGUAUAGCUGACAAGGCAUUCGAUGAUUCCUGUGUUACCCAGCGAAACGCGUUCGCAUAAGGAGGUAUGCGCGCAUAUACAGAUAUGCGCAUACAUACAUUUGUAUAUGUGUGGGUGUGUGCUUCAAUAAUGCAACAGCCGCUGAAAUGUGGCAGCAGCUGCUAAAGCGUUGACAAUUGCAAAUUUCCUAUACAUACAUAUAUAUACAUGCGUAUGUAUUCAAGUGGAUAUGCGCAGAUAGUUGUCAAACUGACAUUCAAAAUAACAUACACACAUACACGCAAAGACAGCAGCAUAGUUGAAAUCAUUAAUAAUAAAAUAGUGAGAGAAAAAGUGGAAUAUGCUGGAAACUAUGUCAAUGUCAUGAAAAUAAAAAUAAAUGAAAACAAACACACAAAUAAAAAAAUUAAAAAUUCGUUCUAGGGUCUUCUAGCUUACCACCAGCGGUGCUCUGAACUCCCCUGAACAGCUCUCGUUGACCUUAUUGCCGGUCAUGUAAACAGAAAAAAACUCGACAAAAGUGCGCUAGUGCUUGGAGUUGGGUAAACAAUAAUUUGUAAAUUUGUGGCAAAAGUUUUAUGUUGGUCAACAAGUGAAGGUCCAAGUGCAAGUUCAACAAAGAAGAAUAUAAUGCACACUGUAGAAAUAAAAACUGAACAAAAAAACAAAAAAAAAAUAAGAAAUUAAAAAAAUUUAAUUAAAUCCAGCACAACAACAUAGCGGAAUUGCUCAAUUUUAGCGAAUUAGAAUUGAGUGCUCUUCAAAGAGAAUUCAUAAGAAUAAAGUAAUCAAAUUUCGCAAUCCAACAUGUUCACGCAGCGUAGGCCGAGUGGCCAGCAGACCGGCAACAAUUUGCUGCGCAUCACUAUGAUGAUAGUCUUCGGUUUGGCGAAUCUAAAUAAUG
Molecule: long non-coding RNA, 3112 nt
Organism: Anastrepha ludens (Mexican fruit fly)
Lineage: Eukaryota; Metazoa; Arthropoda; Insecta; Diptera; Tephritidae
Exons: 3
Source: RefSeq, a predicted model, not a curated record